Molecule: ribosomal RNA, 253 nt
Filed under: uncultured bacterium
Lineage: Bacteria
Description: partial 16S ribosomal RNA
Rfam family: Bacterial small subunit ribosomal RNA
Source: RNAcentral
UACGGGGGGGGCAAGCGUUGUUCGGAAUUACUGGGCGUAAAGGACGCGUAGGCGGCCUGCUAAGUCGGAUGUGAAAUCCCUCGGCUCAACCGAGGAACUGCAUCCGAUACUGGCGGGCUUGAAUCCGGGAGAGGGAUGUGGAAUUCCAGGUGUAGCGGUGAAAUGCGUAGAUAUCUGGAGGAACACCGGUGGCGAAGGCGGCAUCCUGGACCGGUAUUGACGCUGAGGCGCGAAAGCUAGGGGAGCAAACGGG